UGGGGAAUAUUGCACAAUGGGCGCAAGCCUGAUGCAGCCAUGCCGCGUGUAUGAAGAAGGCCUUCGGGUUGUAAAGUACUUUCAGCGGGGAGGAAGGGAGUAAAGUUAAUACCUUUGCUCAUUGACGUUACCCGCAGAAGAAGCACCUGCUAACUCCGUGCCAGCAGCCGCGGUAAUACGGAGGGUGCAAGCGUUAAUCGGAAUUACUGGGCGUAAAGCGCACGCAGGCGGUUUGUUAAGUCAGAUGUGAAAUCCCCGGGCUCAACCUGGGAACUGCAUCUGAUACUGGCAAGCUUGAGUCUCGUAGAGGGGGGUAGAAUUCCAGGUGUAGCGGUGAAAUGCGUAGAGAUCUGGAGGAAUACCGGUGGCGAAGGCGGCCCCCUAGACGAAGACUGACGCUCAGGUGCGAAAGCGUGGGGAGCAAACAGG
This 429-nucleotide ribosomal RNA is filed under the name Chloroflexota bacterium. Its description in RNAcentral is "Chloroflexi bacterium partial 16S ribosomal RNA". It matches the Rfam family "Bacterial small subunit ribosomal RNA", at positions 355 to 776 of the family's 1533-position model. Lineage: Bacteria; Bacillati; Chloroflexota. The record is from RNAcentral.